This 339-nucleotide ribosomal RNA is filed under the name uncultured Leptolinea sp. Its description in RNAcentral is "bacterial SSU rRNA". It matches the Rfam family "Bacterial small subunit ribosomal RNA", at positions 1029 to 1382 of the family's 1533-position model. Lineage: Bacteria; Bacillati; Chloroflexota; Anaerolineae; Anaerolineales; Anaerolineaceae. The record is from RNAcentral.
CUUGUACAGGUGCUGCAUGGCUGUCGUCAGCUCGUGUCGUGAGAUGUUCGGUUAAGUCCGCUAACGAGCGCAACCCUCGCUGUGUGUUACAAGUGUCACACGGAACUGCCGGUCAUAAACCGGAGGAAGGUGGGGAUGACGUCAAGUCAGCAUGGCCUUUAUAUCCUGGGCUACACACACGCUACAAUGGCCAACACAAUAGGUUGCUAAGCCGCGAGGUGGCGCCAAUCCAUAAAGUUGGUCUCAGUUCAGAUUGCAGGCUGCAACUCGCCUGCAUGAAGUUGGAGUUGCUAGUAACCGCAGGUCAGCUAUACUGCGGUGAAUACGUUCCCGGGGCUU